UAUCAGGAAAGGGAAGUCUAGUCUGUUUAGCCAUAUGACAGAUAGAACAAGGGAAAGACUGCUUAGAAGCAAAAGGAAAAGACAAUCCAGAAAUGUGUUUCGUGUUUGAAAAUGAAGUAUGAGCAAGUCUCAAAUGCCAAAUGUAAUUCAUUUCAGUUGUAACAACAUUAUUACAGAUGGAACUAUUUACAUUGGAAGGUAAAGCAACAUCUUUAUGGCAAUCAGUAAAAGAAGAAUUGUCAUGAUUACAAGAGUCAGAUUUAGAGUAUACAAAAGAAGAUGAACAAGACUAUUUACAUUUGAAGGUAAAGCAACAUCUUUAUGGCAACCAGUAAAAGAAGAAUUGUCAUGAUUACAAGAGUUAAAUUUAGAGUAUACAAAAGCAGAUGAACAACCAGUAGAGCAAGAAGGGAAGCUGGAGUCCAUGCAAGCUUGUAUAGACCAGCCUCCUCUCUAC
Molecule: long non-coding RNA, 457 nt
Filed under: Nicotiana benthamiana
Lineage: Eukaryota; Viridiplantae; Streptophyta; Magnoliopsida; Solanales; Solanaceae
Description: long non-coding RNA (NBEN_LNC023289)
Source: RNAcentral